AUCCCGCGAUCACUUCGAAGCAAGCGGUUCUCCUGAUCGGAUGUAAAAGUGAUUAAUAGAGCUCGAUAUACAAGUGUUAAUUUAAGUGUAAUAAAAAAGUUAAAAGUACUGAAAAAAGCAACUAUAGCAAUUUUAUAUAUGGGACCCAUUUAAGGAAAAGGUUUUUGCUUUUACGAAGAGCAAAUGCAAAACAAAGAGCGACUUAAACUAUUAAAGACAGUUCAGAAAACUGUAUCACUUGAUUACAAGGACUACAUUUACACCGUAUUGCUCACAUCUGUCAUCUUAAAUAAUUCGUGGACCGUCAUUAAAGGAACCAACAAGCGAAAGAAAUUAUCACGACUAUGACUCGCAGGAAAGUUUUGUACGCACAUGCAGACGUACGAAUGUGGGAAAA
Molecule: non-coding RNA, 397 nt
Organism: Drosophila suzukii
Lineage: Eukaryota; Metazoa; Arthropoda; Insecta; Diptera; Drosophilidae
Source: RefSeq, a predicted model, not a curated record